AGUGAACGCUGGCGGCGUGCCUAAUACAUGCAAGUCGAACGAUGAAGUCCUAGCUUGCUAGGAUGGAUUAGUGGCGCACGGGUGAGUAAUAUAUAGUUAAUCUGCCCUACACAGAGGAACAACAGUUGGAAACGACUGCUAAUACCUCAUACUCCUAUUUGACAUAAGUUAAAUAGGGAAAGUCUUUUCGGUGUAGGAUGAGACUAUAUCGUAUCAGCUAGUUGGUAAGGUAAUGGCUUACCAAGGCUAUGACGCGUAACUGGUCUGAGAGGAUGAUCAGUCACAUUGGAACUGAGACACGGUCCAAACUCCUACGGGAGGCAGCAGUAAGGAAUAUUGCGCAAUGGGGGAAACCCUGACGCAGCAACGCCGCGUGGAGGAUGACACUUUUCGGAGCGUAAACUCCUUUUAUCAGGAAAGAAUAAUGACGGUACCUGAUGAAUAAACACCGGCUAACUCCGUG
Molecule: ribosomal RNA, 463 nt
Filed under: uncultured bacterium
Lineage: Bacteria
Description: partial 16S ribosomal RNA
Rfam family: Bacterial small subunit ribosomal RNA
Source: RNAcentral